GCUGGGCAUGGGGGAGCAUGCCUGUAGUCCUGGCUACUUGGGAGGUUGAGGUGGGAGGAUCACUUCUGCCCACAAGUUCAAGACCAGCCUGGGAAGCAUAGCAAGAACCCUCUCAA
Molecule: small RNA, 116 nt
Filed under: Marmota monax (woodchuck)
Lineage: Eukaryota; Metazoa; Chordata; Mammalia; Rodentia; Sciuridae
Source: RNAcentral